CGAGGGGGGCAAAUGUUGUUCGGAAUCACUGGGCGUAAAGGGAGCGUAGGCGGGCUCUUAAGUUAGGUGUUUAAUCCCGGGGCCCAACCCCGGACCGGCACUUAAAACUGGGAAUCUUGAAUAGUGGAGAGGUCGGUGGAAUUGGGGGUGUAGCGGUGGAAUGCGUAGAGAUCCCCAAGAACACCAGUUGCGAAGGCGGCCGACUGGACACAUAUUGACGCUGAGGCUCGAAAGCAUGGGGAGCAAACAGGAUUAGAUACCCUGGUAGUCCAUGCCAUAAACGAUGAAUACUAGGUUUUGGGCCCGUCAACGGUCCAGAGCCGCAGCUAACGCGUUAAGUAUUCCGCCUGGGGAGUACGGUCGCAAGACUG
This 371-nucleotide ribosomal RNA is filed under the name uncultured organism. RNAcentral describes it as "bacterial SSU rRNA". It matches the Rfam family "Bacterial small subunit ribosomal RNA", at positions 526 to 896 of the family's 1533-position model. The record is from RNAcentral.